CUCGUAGGCGGUUCGUCGCGUCCGGUGUGAAAGCCCAUCGCUUAACGGUGGAUCCGCGCCGGGUACGGGCGGGCUUGAGUGCGGUAGGGGAGACUGGAAUUCCCGGUGUAACGGUGGAAUGUGUAGAUAUCGGGAGGAACACCGGUGGCGAAGGCGGGUCUCUGGGCCGACAUUGACGCUGAGGAGCGAAAGCGUGGGGAGCGAACA
RNAcentral lists this ribosomal RNA (207 nucleotides) under uncultured bacterium. RNAcentral describes it as "partial 16S ribosomal RNA". It matches the Rfam family "Bacterial small subunit ribosomal RNA", at positions 568 to 774 of the family's 1533-position model. The record is from RNAcentral.